CAUCCUCAACCUUCUUGGUCUUUUCUUUGAUCAGGAAGGCUUGGAAUUUGGAGGUUCUUGCUGGCUUCCCCUUUGAAGCCAGCUCCUCUUAAACGAAUUAGUGGGGUCCACUUCUGCCGAUCCUUGACAUGAUAAGAUGUUUCUGUGUCUUGGUAUAGAGCAAAGAAAACCUGCUUCUAACCGUCUCUUAGGAGACAUCGUUUUGAC
RNAcentral lists this unclassified non-coding RNA (207 nucleotides) under uncultured Russula. Its description in RNAcentral is "sequence contains ITS2". The record is from RNAcentral. Lineage: Eukaryota; Fungi; Basidiomycota; Agaricomycetes; Russulales; Russulaceae.